This 253-nucleotide ribosomal RNA is filed under the name uncultured bacterium. RNAcentral describes it as "partial 16S ribosomal RNA". It matches the Rfam family "Bacterial small subunit ribosomal RNA", at positions 524 to 776 of the family's 1533-position model. The record is from RNAcentral.
UACGUAGGGGGCAAGCGUUGUCCGGAAUCAUUGGGCGUAAAGCGCGCGUAGGCGGCCCGGUAAGUCCGCUGUGAAAGUCCAGGGCUCCACCCUGGAAAGCCGGUGGAUACUGCCGGGCUAGAGUCCGGAAGAGGCGAGUGGAAUUCCUGGUGUAGCGGUGGAAUGCGCAGAUAUCAGGAGGAACACCAAUAGCGAAGGCAGCUCGCUGGGACGGUACUGACGCUGAGGUGCGAAAGCGUGGGGAGCAAACAGG